UCAUCCGGCUCCUAAAUUUCAUGAUACUGUUAAUGAACAGCAUUCUGGAAAUAAUCAACCAUCUAUGCAAUAUCAUGAUAGAGUGGAUAACAAUAAACAUUCUUCUGUUGUUUCUCCAUCAUCUCACUCUUACACACCUGGAGUUUAUCCUUCCCAAGACUAUCAUCCUCCUCCACCUUCCCAUGACUAUCAUUCUCCUCCACCUUCCCAAGACUAUCAUUCUCCUCCACCUUCCCAAGACUAUCAUUCUCCUCCACCUUCCCAAGACUAUCAUCCUCCACCACCUUCCCAAGAUUAUCAUCCUCCUCCACCAUCCCAAGAUUACCAUCCUCCACCUGCCAGGUCAGAAAGUUCGUAUUCUGAGCUCUACAACCAUCAGCAAUACUCAUCGGAGAAUUCACAGCAUUUAGGGCCUAACUACCCUUCUCAUGAAAAUUCCUCCUAUUCCUAUCCCCAUU
RNAcentral lists this long non-coding RNA (458 nucleotides) under Phaseolus vulgaris (common bean). RNAcentral describes it as "long non-coding RNA (PVUL_LNC001918)". Lineage: Eukaryota; Viridiplantae; Streptophyta; Magnoliopsida; Fabales; Fabaceae. The record is from RNAcentral.